UACGUAGGGUGCGAGCGUUGUCCGGAAUUAUUGGGCGUAAAGAGCUCGUAGGCGGUGUGUCACUUCGAUCGUGAAAACUUGGGGCUUAACCCUGAGCUUGCGGUCGAUACGGGCAUCACUGGAGUUCGGCAGGGGAGACUGGAAUUCCUGGUGUAGCGGUGAAAUGCGCAGAUAUCAGGAGGAACACCGGUGGCGAAGGCGGGUCCCUGGGCCGAUACUGACGCUGAGGAGCGAAAGCGUGGGGAGCGAACAGG
Molecule: ribosomal RNA, 254 nt
Filed under: uncultured bacterium
Lineage: Bacteria
Description: partial 16S ribosomal RNA
Rfam family: Bacterial small subunit ribosomal RNA
Source: RNAcentral